RNAcentral lists this long non-coding RNA (273 nucleotides) under Fragaria vesca (wild strawberry). RNAcentral's name for it is "long non-coding RNA (FVES_LNC005382)". The record is from RNAcentral. Lineage: Eukaryota; Viridiplantae; Streptophyta; Magnoliopsida; Rosales; Rosaceae.
AGACGUCUACAAUAAGACCUACCUUAAACUUCAAAAGGAAAUGGAGGAGGCGGACGUCUACAAUAAGACCUACAAUAAACUUCAGAAGGAAAUUGAGGAGGCAGACGUCUACAAUAAGACCUACAAUAAACUUAAGAAGGAAAUAGAGGAGGCGGACGUCUACAAUAAGACCUACGAUAAACUUCAGAAGGAAAUGGAGGAGGCAGACGUCUACAAUAAGACCUACAAUAAACUUCAGAGGGAGAUGGAGGAGGCGGACGUCUACAAUAAGAC